GACGAACGCUGGCGGCGUGCUUAACACAUGCAAGUCGAACGGAAAGGCCCUGCUUUUGUGGGGUUCUCGAGUGGCGAACGGGUGAGUAACACGUGAGUAACCUGCCCUUGACUUUGGGAUAACUUCAGGAAACUGGGGCUAAUACCGGAUAGGAGCUCCUGCUGCAUGGUGGGGGUUGGACAGUUUCGGCGGUUGGGGAUGGACUCGCGGCUUAUCAGCUUGUUGGUGGGGUAGUGGCUUACCAAGGCUUUGACGGGUAGCCGGCCUGAGAGGGUGACCGGCCACAUGGGGACUGAGGUACGGACCAGACUGCUACGGGAGGCAGCAGGGGGGAAUAUUGCACAAUGGGCGGAAGCCUGAGGCAGCAACGCCGCGUGCGGGAUGACGGCCUUGGAGUUGUAAACCGCUUUCGCCUGUGACGAAGCGUGAGUGACGGUAAUGGGUAAAGAAGCACCGGCUAACUACGUG
This 468-nucleotide ribosomal RNA is filed under the name uncultured bacterium. Its description in RNAcentral is "partial 16S ribosomal RNA". It matches the Rfam family "Bacterial small subunit ribosomal RNA", at positions 28 to 507 of the family's 1533-position model. The record is from RNAcentral.